Dromiciops gliroides (monito del monte) is the source of this 462-nucleotide long non-coding RNA. RefSeq lists it as uncharacterized. NCBI's taxonomy places the organism in Eukaryota, Metazoa, Chordata, Mammalia, Microbiotheria, Microbiotheriidae. The transcript is spliced from 3 exons. The record is from RefSeq and is a predicted model, not a curated record.
CUCUCCUGGUUCACUGGCUGCGCGGCACAGACAGAUGCUGACUGGAGUUUGACUUGGCCUGGCUCACCGUAGCAGCACGUGCUUGACAAGGCUCUCUCCCCUCAAAGGUGGCCUUGGGCUUUUGGCCCAGAACUCUCUCCACUUCAAGAAGAAGAAAGUGCUAACUACAUGGAAGGCAUAGGACAGAAGACAGCACCUGUGCUGUGCCAAGGACUCUAAGAGAUGGAAGAUGAUGGCAUGGAGGAAUGGGGCCAUGGGCUCAGCAAAGCUAUGGCUGGGCAGCCACAGGAUGGCAGCAGCAUGAUGAGAAGCCAGAAGAAGCUACAUUCCUCUAGCCCUGCCACUGACCCCAAGAAAUGCCACAAAGGCCCCAUGUAAAAGUGGAGGGAGAGACUGAACACAAGCCCCAGAAAAGAAAAAAGGAGAACCAGGCAUGGACAAAUUACAAAUUGUGUCCAGAAG